ACUUCUUCCUCCUCCUCCUCCUCAGUCUCUUCUCCACGCCCUCGUUCUUCAUGUUUCUGGAUGUUGGGGAGAGAAGGGACAUGCUCAUUAGGGGCUGAGCAAAAACUACUUUGGAACUUAACAUGUUUCUCCCUCCACUAAGGCAACAUUUCAGACCCUUGGAACUCCUUUGCCUUCCCACUAAACCCAUGGCACUGGGGACAGGCCUCCUGAAUGGGAAGUCCUCUGGUGAAAGGCAAAUCAGAGGGCUAAGGACCAAGAAGAAAUAGCAAAUUCCAAGAUCUGGACUCAAGCCUCCGUCUCCUGGGUGAAGUGCUGGUGGGCGAUCCGGACCCGGUACACGCCCAUGGCCACGACAAACACCAGCAUGCACACAGAAAUGAUGAUGACCACUGUGGCGAUGCUUGGGACCACUGGAACAAGGAAGGAAUCCACAUGACAUGGUAAAUGGAAAGACUAGCUCAGUCUUGAGAUGGAAUAUGAAGGGAAUACCCAUGUGUGGGUUAAAAUCUGCCCUACCACUUCUCAGCUGUAGAUAGAACUCUGGGCCAGCACCUCACCCUGCCUGGGUUUCACUUUCUUCAUCUCUAUAAUGAAUUUAAUAAUUCUUACCCAUGGGUACUUGUGAGGAAUAAAUCAAGUAUUUGAUGUA
Molecule: long non-coding RNA, 652 nt
Organism: Lutra lutra (Eurasian river otter)
Lineage: Eukaryota; Metazoa; Chordata; Mammalia; Carnivora; Mustelidae
Exons: 2
Source: RefSeq, a predicted model, not a curated record